This 456-nucleotide long non-coding RNA is filed under the name Pan troglodytes (chimpanzee). RNAcentral describes it as "long non-coding RNA NONPTRT013433". The record is from RNAcentral. Lineage: Eukaryota; Metazoa; Chordata; Mammalia; Primates; Hominidae.
ACAAUGCUAAAUUUCCUUCACCACCUCUAUUGAGAUUUAACUCGGGACUCAAAAACUAAGCAAGUACAUAUUUUGAAGGCGGUCAUUACCACAACAGCAACCCAGUGGCAGGAACCAGAAUCAGUAUCUGCCAUUCUGAGAUCACUCAACCAUGCGAAUUUAUGAAGCUGGAUUAAAUGCUCCUAAUGCAGCUUCCAACUUUAUGACUCUGUGAUUCAUGUGCUAUAAAUUAACAAUAAUGUUCAGGAAAAGGGAAGGGAGAGAGAAGGGGAGGAAGUGGAGGAGAAAGAGAUAGACAUGUGGUAGGGCUCAGAUGGGCAAGCACCGUACAACACACAGAAAAGGUACAGACAAGGGGAGGGACAGACCCCAAAGACUUUGCUGACUGUAUUAACAUAAAUAAUCUUCAGGUCAGCGUAGAAGGUGCCAUAAAGUUAACUAAAUUCCUCAUUAUUA